GGCNGCUUACCAUGCAAGUCGAACGAUGAAGCCCAGCUUGCUGGGUGGAUUAGUGGCGAACGGGUGAGUAACACGUGAGUAACCUGCCCUUAACUCUGGGAUAAGCCUGGGAAACUGGGUCUAAUACCGGAUAGGAGCGUCCACCGCAUGGUGGGUGUUGGAAAGAUUUAUCGGUUUUGGAUGGACUCGCGGCCUAUCAGCUUGUUGGUGAGGUAAUGGCUCACCAAGGCGACGACGGGUAGCCGGCCUGAGAGGGUGACCGGCCACACUGGGACUGAGACACGGCCCAGACUCCUACGGGAGGCAGCAGUGGGGAAUAUUGCACAAUGGGCGAAAGCCUGAUGCAGCGACGCCGCGUGAGGGAUGACGGCCUUCGGGUUGUAAACCUCUUUCAGUAGGGAAGAAGCGAAAGUGACGGUACCUGCAGAAGAAGCACCGGCUAACUACGUGCCAGCAGCCGCGGUAAUACGUAGGGUGCGAGCGUUAUCCGGGAAUUAUUGGGCGUAAAGAGCUCGUAGGCGGUUUGUCGCGUCUGUCGUGAAAGUCCGGGGCUUAACCCGGGAUCUGCGGUGGGUACGGGCAGACUAGAGUGCAGUAGGGGAGACUGGAAUUCCUGGUGUAGCGGUGGAAUGCGCAGAUAUCAGGAGGAACACCGAUGGCGAAGGCAGGUCUCUGGGCUGUAACUGACGCUGAGGAGCGAAAGCAUGGGGAGCGAACAGGAUUAGAUACCCUGGUAGUCCAUGCCGUAAACGUUGGGCACUAGGUGUGGGGACCAUUCCACGGUUUCCGCGCCGCAGCUAACGCAUUAAGUGCCCCGCCUGGGGAGUACGGCCGCAAGGCUAAAACUCAAAGGAAUUGACGGGGGCCCGCACAAGCGGCGGAGCAUGCGGAUUAAUUCGAUGCAACGCGAAGAACCUUACCAAGGCUUGACAUGUUCUCGAUCGCCGUAGAGAUACGGUUUCCCCUUUGGGGYGGGUUCACAGGUGGUGCAUGGUUGUCGUCAGCUCGUGUCGUGAGAUGUUGGGUUAAGUCCCGCAACGAGCGCAACCCUCGUUCCAUGUUGCCAGCACGUANUGGUGGGGACUCAUGGGAGACUGCCGGGGUCAACUCGGAGGAAGGUGAGGACGACGUCAAAUCAUCAUGCCCCUUAUGUCUUGGGCUUCACGCAUGCUACAAUGGCCGGUACAAUGGGUUGCGAUACUGUGAGGUGGAGCUAAUCCCAAAAAGCCGGUCUCAGUUCGGAUUGGGGUCUGCAACUCGACCCCAUGAAGUCGGAGUCGCUAGUAAUCGCAGAUCAGCAACGCUGCGGUGAAUACGUUCCCGGGCCUUGUACACACCGCCCGUCAAGUCACGAAAGUUGGUAACACCCGAAGCCGGUGGCCUAACCCUUGUGGGGGGAGCCGUCGAAGGG
This 1411-nucleotide ribosomal RNA is filed under the name Micrococcaceae bacterium BBN3B-01d. RNAcentral describes it as "bacterial SSU rRNA". It matches the Rfam family "Bacterial small subunit ribosomal RNA". The record is from RNAcentral. Lineage: Bacteria; Bacillati; Actinomycetota; Actinomycetes; Micrococcales; Micrococcaceae.